GGAAUAUUGGACAAUGGGCGAAAGCCUGAUCCAGCCAUGCCGCGUGUGUGAAGAAGGUCUUCGGAUUGUAAAGCACUUUAAGUUGGGAGGAAGGGCAGUUACCUAAUACGUGAUUGUUUUGACGUUACCGACAGAAUAAGCACCGGCUAACUCUGUGCCAGCAGCCGCGGUAAUACAGAGGGUGCAAGCGUUAAUCGGAAUUACUGGGCGUAAAGCGCGCGUAGGUGGUUUGUUAAGUUGGAUGUGAAAUCCCCGGGCUCAACCUGGGAACUGCAUUCAAAACUGACUGACUAGGGUAUGGUAGAGGGUGGUGGAAUUUCCUGUGUAGCGGUGAAAUGCGUAGAUAUAGGAAGGAACACCAGUGGCGAAGGCGACCACCUGGACUAAUACUGACACUGAGAGACGAAAGCUAGGGGAGCGAAUGGGAUUAGAUACCCCUG
Molecule: ribosomal RNA, 440 nt
Filed under: uncultured Pseudomonas sp.
Lineage: Bacteria; Pseudomonadati; Pseudomonadota; Gammaproteobacteria; Pseudomonadales; Pseudomonadaceae
Description: bacterial SSU rRNA
Rfam family: Bacterial small subunit ribosomal RNA
Source: RNAcentral